GAUGUACGCUGGCGGCGUGCCUAAUACAUGCAAGUCGAACGAAACUUCUUUAUCACCGAGUGCUUGCACUCACCGAUAAAGAGUUGAGUGGCGAACGGGUGAGUAACACGUGGGCAACCUGCCCAAAAGAGGGGGAUAACACUUGGAAACAGGUGCUAAUACCGCAUAACCAUAGUUACCGCAUGGUAACUAUGUAAAAGGUGGCUAUACUACCGCUUUUGGAUGGGCCCGCGGCGCAUUAGCUAGUUGGUAGGGUAAAGGCUUACCAAGGCAAUGAUGCGUAGCCGAAGUGAGAGGAGGAUCGGCCACAUUGGGACUGAGACACGGCCCAAACUCCUACGGGAGGCAGCAGUAGGGAAUCUUCCACAAUGGGCGAAAGCCUGAUGGAGCAACGCCGCGUGGGUGAAGAAGGUCUUCGGAUCGUAAAACCCUGUUGUUAGAGAAGAAAGUGCGUGAGAGUAACUGUUCACGUUUCGACGGUAUCUAACCAGAAAGCCACGGCUAACUACGUG
This 512-nucleotide ribosomal RNA is filed under the name uncultured bacterium. RNAcentral's name for it is "partial 16S ribosomal RNA". It matches the Rfam family "Bacterial small subunit ribosomal RNA", at positions 28 to 507 of the family's 1533-position model. The record is from RNAcentral.